GCCAGACUCCUACGGGAGGCAGCAGUGGGGAAUAUUGCACAAUGGGGGGAACCCUGAUGCAGCGACGCCGCGUGGGUGAAGGAGUACUUCGGUACGUAAAGCCCUAUCAGCAGGAAAGAAAAUGACGGUACCUGACUAAGAAGCCCCGGCUAACUACGUGCCAGCAGCCGCGGUAAUACGGAGGAUGCGAGCGUUAUCCGGAUUUAUUGGGUUUAAAGGGUGCGUAGGCGGUCCGGAAAGUCAGCGGUAAAAGCCCGGGGCCCACCCCCGGCGAGCCGUUGAAACUGUCGGACUAGAGACGGCGAGAAGUACGCGGAAUGCGCGGUGUAGCGGUGAAAUGCAUAGAUAUCGCGCAGAACUCCGAUUGCGAAGGCAGCGUACCGGCGCCGGACUGACGCUGAGGCACGAAAGCGUGGGUAUCGAACAGGAUUAGAUACCCGCGUA
This 444-nucleotide ribosomal RNA is filed under the name uncultured bacterium. Its description in RNAcentral is "bacterial SSU rRNA". It matches the Rfam family "Bacterial small subunit ribosomal RNA", at positions 330 to 792 of the family's 1533-position model. The record is from RNAcentral.